RNAcentral lists this ribosomal RNA (154 nucleotides) under fungal sp. LSVM948. RNAcentral's name for it is "5.8S ribosomal RNA". It matches the Rfam family "5.8S ribosomal RNA". From Rfam's summary of the family: 5.8S ribosomal RNA (5.8S rRNA) is a component of the large subunit of the eukaryotic ribosome. It is transcribed by RNA polymerase I as part of the 45S precursor that also contains 18S and 28S rRNA. Functionally, it is thought that 5.8S rRNA may be involved in ribosome translocation. The record is from RNAcentral. Lineage: Eukaryota; Fungi.
UAAAACUUUCAACAACGGAUCUCUUGGUUCUGGCAUCGAUGAAGAACGCAGCGAAAUGCGAUAAGUAAUGUGAAUUGCAGAAUUCCGUGAAUCAUCGAAUCUUUGAACGCACAUUGCGCCCUUUGGUAUUCCGAAGGGCAUGCCUGUUCGAGCG